GGUUAAGCGACUAAGCGUACACGGUGGAUGCCCUGGCAGUCAGAGGCGAUGAAGGACGUGCUAAUCUGCGAUAAGCGUCGGUAAGGUGAUAUGAACCGUUAUAACCGGCGAUUUCCGAAUGGGGAAACCCAGUGUGUUUCGACACACUAUCAUUAACUGAAUCCAUAGGUUAAUGAGGCGAACCGGGGGAACUGAAACAUCUAAGUACCCCGAGGAAAAGAAAUCAACCGAGAUUCCCCCAGUAGCGGCGAGCGAACGGGGAGCAGCCCAGAGCCUGAAUCAGUAUGUGUGUUAGUGGAAGCGUCUGGAAAGGCGCGCGAUACAGGGUGACAGCCCCGUACACAAAAAUGCACAUAUUGUGAGCUCGAUGAGUAGGGCGGGACACGUGGUAUCCUGUCUGAAUAUGGGGGGACCAUCCUCCAAGGCUAAAUACUCCUGACUGACCGAUAGUGAACCAGUACCGUGAGGGAAAGGCGAAAAGAACCCCGGCGAGGGGAGUGAAAAAGAACCUGAAACCGUGUACGUACAAGCAGUGGGAGCACGCUUAGGCGUGUGACUGCGUACCUUUUGUAUAAUGGGUCAGCGACUUAUAUUCUGUAGCAAGGUUAACCGAAUAGGGGAGCCGAAGGGAAACCGAGUCUUAACUGGGCGUUAAGUUGCAGGGUAUAGACCCGAAACCCGGUGAUCUAGCCAUGGGCAGGUUGAAGGUUGGGUAACACUAACUGGAGGACCGAACCGACUAAUGUUGAAAAAUUAGCGGAUGACUUGUGGCUGGGGGUGAAAGGCCAAUCAAACCGGGAGAUAGCUGGUUCUCCCCGAAAGCUAUUUAGGUAGCGCCUCGUGAAUUCAUCUCCGGGGGUAGAGCACUGUUUCGGCAAGGGGGUCAUCCCGACUUACCAACCCGAUGCAAACUGCGAAUACCGGAGAAUGUUAUCACGGGAGACACACGGCGGGUGCUAACGUCCGUCGUGAAGAGGGAAACAACCCAGACCGCCAGCUAAGGUCCCAAAGUCAUGGUUAAGUGGGAAACGAUGUGGGAAGGCCCAGACAGCCAGGAUGUUGGCUUAGAAGCAGCCAUCAUUUAAAGAAAGCGUAAUAGCUCACUGGUCGAGUCGGCCUGCGCGGAAGAUGUAACGGGGCUAAACCAUGCACCGAAGCUGCGGCAGCGACGCUGAUGCGUUGUUGGGUAGGGGAGCGUUCUGUAAGCCUGUGAAGGUGUGCUGUGAGGCAUGCUGGAGGUAUCAGAAGUGCGAAUGCUGACAUAAGUAACGAUAAAGCGGGU
RNAcentral lists this ribosomal RNA (1282 nucleotides) under Escherichia coli. Its description in RNAcentral is "partial 23S ribosomal RNA". It matches the Rfam family "Bacterial large subunit ribosomal RNA", at positions 1 to 1322 of the family's 2925-position model. Lineage: Bacteria; Pseudomonadati; Pseudomonadota; Gammaproteobacteria; Enterobacterales; Enterobacteriaceae. The record is from RNAcentral.